CCGCCUGCGCUCAGAGACUCACGCAGCCCCAGUCCCGCCAGUCCGCCAACACAGUAGUGCCGGCCCCCCUCCUUCCCUAGCCCUUCCCCCUCCCCGCCUUUGGCUCGCUCCGCCUUUCUGCCCCCCACCCCCACCUCACGGGUACAGGCCAUUCCCGGCCAGGAAACGCCGUGGCGCCGCGUUGGGCCUAACUCGAGUCUUGCUGCCUCCCGGGAGUGCCGUGCGCCGCAGCCCGGGCCCAGGCCCCGGCAGCGCCUGGGACAAGGUCUUCAGAGCUACUGACAUAACUUUGGGGCACUUCAUAUUCAGAGGUCUAUGUAAAGGAUUCCUCAUGUCCAUAUCAUGUUGGCUGAGGCUGUACAGCUCACCCCCACUCUCAGAGUGGUCAGUCUCCAUUAAUUGGACCCCGUGAUUUCCAUUCUCUGCUGUGUUGGACGUCAUGAGCAUUGCAGUCCCUCUGGGAGUAACUACACCAGAUACAUCCUAUUCAGAUAUGGCUGCUGGAUCAGAAAAGGAAGUGGAAGCCCCCUACCUUUCAAGACGAAGUGGCACUACACCAGGAUGUGAAAGUCCAGCGAAAGAGACCCAAGGGGCCUAGGGGGCAGCACACCCCCAGAAGCCAAGUCUAUUCCAGGCAGUACCAGGGAUUAGGGUCUGGGCUGGAAAAAUCCUGGUGUUUUGAAUAUGUUCAGGUCCAGUUCAGACUCUUGAUCCCACAGCCACUUCUUGAGUGAGGUGGGUGUUGCUCUAAUUCCCCUGUUUCUCUUGCCAUUUUCAUAGUCCCUGGGGGUUCUUCCCCUUCAGCAAAGCAAAGCAACUGUACCAGAAUUCUGGGUUGAACGGCAUCCUUUAUUAAUAGGGCUUCUUUCUUAAAACUGAGACUAUGAUUAAAGAGCAUGUGUAUUUCUUCAUAAAGCCACCUAUUUAUCAUUACUUGUUUAUUGGGUUCCUUGAACAAGACUUAAAGCUACCCUAGGAAAUAAUAUAUAAUAUUCUGGGGUAGUAUGAAGCUGAGAAUAGUUUUCAAGCUUAUCCCAUAUUGAAAUGAAUAGGGAGGGUGGGGAAAUGGGAAAGGAAGAGUGACUUUCUAUUUCAUUUAAGGCUAUUUAUUUUCUUUUAUUAUUAGUUUGCAUGACAAAGAUUCAGUUAAACCAUUAGCUGAGAUUUCCAAAUAUAUAAAUAUUUCCCCAAAUAGAUCACUUAAAAAUUUUCCUGCAUUAUUACAUAUCCCAGUUGUAUAGUGUUGAGGUAUUUAUAAAAUCAGCUAUUUAUCUGCUAUGAUCUGAUAACAGGAAGACAUUUUAACAUUUGUAAGAAAUUUCAGUAGAGAUUAAACCAAUAAAUUUUAAAUUACUAAGAACAAGAUCCAAAUCAAUUAUUCUGAGAAUUAUUAUCUUUCCCAAUUAGUAUAGUGAUAAUUGACUAUAAAUGUUGCUAGGGAAUCUAGUAAUGGCUACAGAAAUAAAAAUAUUUCUGGUAUGCAAAUUUGAUUACAUUGCCACAUCUCAAGAGUUCCUGAACAUUUUCUUCCAUUAUUUUCAUAAGUUUAUGAUGCUGCAGUCAUAACUAAUUUCACAGUUAUUCUUUUAUUAGUUGUAUAAAAGAAGAGACUAUCAGUUAUUGGCUUAUAUACUUCUACUUUUCAAUGUUUCAUCAUGCCUAUUCCCCUAUUCUUAGUACAUUUAAACUGCUCUUAAAGAGCAACAUAUUGGACCAAGUGGAGACCUAAACCAUACCUCAUAGUAUUUUAAAUCUGAUACCAACAAUAUACAGUCUGCAUUUUUUGAUACUUAUACAAAAACUUAUAAUAAAAGAAAGAUGUUUCUGGACUUAAAACUCUGCCCUAAGAGUUUUGGUCAUUUUAAGAGGUGGCAUUAUAGCAGAUUAUAUACUGUACAAAAUUGAUGGAGUUUAUCCGUUGUAAACCUGGUUUUUACUGUAUGUGCCCAACUCUCACACAACUCAUAGAAAAAAGGAUACAA
Dipodomys ordii (Ord's kangaroo rat) is the source of this 1982-nucleotide long non-coding RNA. RefSeq lists it as uncharacterized. NCBI's taxonomy places the organism in Eukaryota, Metazoa, Chordata, Mammalia, Rodentia, Heteromyidae. The transcript is spliced from 4 exons. The record is from RefSeq and is a predicted model, not a curated record.